UGUAUUUUAGUAUAAGAUGUACGUAAGUUUUUGAUACUUAAUGGGAUAGUUUAAUUCUAUCAAAUACAA
RNAcentral lists this transfer RNA (69 nucleotides) under Mordellidae sp. GENSP01. Its description in RNAcentral is "tRNA-Gln". The record is from RNAcentral. Lineage: Eukaryota; Metazoa; Arthropoda; Insecta; Coleoptera; Mordellidae.